RNAcentral lists this ribosomal RNA (440 nucleotides) under uncultured bacterium. Its description in RNAcentral is "partial 16S ribosomal RNA". It matches the Rfam family "Bacterial small subunit ribosomal RNA", at positions 338 to 795 of the family's 1533-position model. The record is from RNAcentral.
CCUACGGGGAGCUGCAGUGGGGGAUAUUGCACAAUGGGGGGAACCCUGAUGCAGCGACGCCGCGUGUGGGAAGACGGUCCUCUGGAUUGUCAACCACUGUCCCCAGGGACGAAAAUGACGGUACCUGGGGAGGAAGCUCCGGCUAACUACGUGACAGCAGCCGCAGUAAUACGUAGGGAGGGAGCGUUGUCCGGAAUUACGGGGUGUAAGGGGAGCGUAGGCGGGGAUGCAAGUUGGGUGUAAAAACUACCGGCUAAACUGGUAGUCGCACUCAAAACUGCAGCUCUUGAGGGAAGUAGAGGCAGGCGGAAUUCCUAGUGUAGCGGUGGAAUGCGUAGAUAUUAGGAGGAACACCAGUGGCGAAGGCGGCCUGCUGGGCUUUUACUGACGCUGAGGCUCGAAAGUGUGGGGAGCAAACAGGAGUAGAUACCCCGGUAGUC